This 73-nucleotide transfer RNA is filed under the name Ornithodoros turicata. Its description in RNAcentral is "transfer RNA valine (anticodon AAC)". It matches the Rfam family "tRNA". From Rfam's summary of the family: Transfer RNA (tRNA) molecules are approximately 80 nucleotides in length. Their secondary structure includes four short double-helical elements and three loops (D, anti-codon, and T loops). Further hydrogen bonds mediate the characteristic L-shaped molecular structure. tRNAs have two regions of fundamental functional importance: the anti-codon, which is responsible for specific mRNA codon recognition, and the 3' end, to which the tRNAs corresponding amino acid is attached (by aminoacyl-tRNA synthetases). tRNAs cope with the degeneracy of the genetic code in two manners: having more than one tRNA (with a specific anti-codon) for a particular amino acid; and 'wobble' base-pairing, i.e. permitting non-standard base-pairing at the 3rd anti-codon position. RNAcentral also lists the same sequence under 2 other names. The record is from RNAcentral. Lineage: Eukaryota; Metazoa; Arthropoda; Arachnida; Ixodida; Argasidae.
GUAUCUGUGGUGUAGUGGUUAUCACAUCCGCCUAACACGCGGAAGGUCCCAGGUUCGAUCCCUGGCAGAUACA